GCGGCUAUGGCGGAAUUGGCAGACGCGCCAGACUUAGGAUCUGGUGUCACAGACGUGGGGGUUCGAGUCCCUUUAGCCGCA
Molecule: transfer RNA, 81 nt
Filed under: Subdoligranulum sp. CAG:314
Lineage: Bacteria; Bacillati; Bacillota; Clostridia; Eubacteriales; Oscillospiraceae
Rfam family: tRNA
About the family: Transfer RNA (tRNA) molecules are approximately 80 nucleotides in length. Their secondary structure includes four short double-helical elements and three loops (D, anti-codon, and T loops). Further hydrogen bonds mediate the characteristic L-shaped molecular structure. tRNAs have two regions of fundamental functional importance: the anti-codon, which is responsible for specific mRNA codon recognition, and the 3' end, to which the tRNAs corresponding amino acid is attached (by aminoacyl-tRNA synthetases). tRNAs cope with the degeneracy of the genetic code in two manners: having more than one tRNA (with a specific anti-codon) for a particular amino acid; and 'wobble' base-pairing, i.e. permitting non-standard base-pairing at the 3rd anti-codon position.
Source: Rfam by way of RNAcentral